Gigantopelta aegis is the source of this 411-nucleotide long non-coding RNA. RefSeq lists it as uncharacterized. The transcript is spliced from 3 exons. The record is from RefSeq and is a predicted model, not a curated record. Lineage: Eukaryota; Metazoa; Mollusca; Gastropoda; Neomphalida; Peltospiridae.
UGUACAGGGGCAUACGGUCUAGGAUGCAGUUCGUCAUGCAGCGACAGACACUGUAAAGCUGAUGAUGCACCAUGUGAUCACGUGACUGGUUCCUGUGGUGGACCAUGUGAUGCUGGUUGGCAAGGAGAUACGUGCACAGCCAAAUGUGACACUGGUAAAUACGGUGAUAACUGUGCCAUGUUCUGCGCGAUCAGAAACUGCGUCAAUAAAGAUGUCUGUCCUCGUGAAGACGGAAAGUGUGUAAGUGGAUGUAUCUCUGGAUUUGAAGGACUGGACUGCUUGCGAGCCCAAGCUGUCACUCCCAACAGUGAUUCCACCACCAUUGCCGUUUCCGUUGUGGCGGGAGUGCUUUUUGUAUUGUUGGUCAUAGUGACGAGUGUUUUAUUCUGGCAAGUAGAUCAUCAUUUUAUC